AACCUGUAUUCCGAACUGUCACCGGAUGGUGGCGUGGCCAAGACAUUGGUCUAGGAACGUGGUUGGAA
This 68-nucleotide non-coding RNA is filed under the name unclassified sequences. RNAcentral's name for it is "DUF3800-IX RNA". It matches the Rfam family "DUF3800-IX RNA". Rfam says of the family: Actinobacteria, Firmicutes (1 example), Nitrospirae, Proteobacteria, Verrucomicrobia (1 example). Nearby to DUF3800 The record is from Rfam by way of RNAcentral.